Molecule: ribosomal RNA, 468 nt
Filed under: uncultured bacterium
Lineage: Bacteria
Description: partial 16S ribosomal RNA
Rfam family: Bacterial small subunit ribosomal RNA
Source: RNAcentral
GACGAACGCUGGCGGCGUGCUUAACACAUGCAAGUCGAACGGACAGGCCCUGCUUUUGUGGGGUGCUCGAGUGGCGAACGGGUGAGUAACACGUGAGUAACCUGCCCUUGUCUUUGGGAUAACUUCUGGAAACUGGGGCUCAUACCGGAUAGGAGCUCCUGCUGCAUGGUGGGGGUUGGAAAAUUUCGGCGGUUGGGGCUGGUCUCGCGGCUUAUCAGCUUGUUGGUGGGGUAGUGGCUUACAAAGCCUUUGACGGGUAGCCGGCAUGGGAGGGUGACCGGCCACAUUGGGACUGAGGUACGGCGCAGAAGCCAACGUGACGCAGCAGGCGGAAAUAUUGCAGAAUGAGGGGAAGCCAGAUGCGGAAAUGCUGCGAUCGUGAUACUGUGUUAUGGGUGAAAAACCGCUUUCGCCGGAGACGUAGCGAGCGUGACGGUAAUGAGUAAAGAAGCACCGGCUAACUACGUG